UUUUAGAUUUGCGGGGAUUUUAACUCUCGCUAUCCAUUUAAAAAUAUACGGCGAACCAAAUUUCAUUUCCCCUCUAUUUUUAAAAUGGACAAAUGUUUUUUUCCCAUUCUCUUAGUUUUACCCAAAAACCCUACAAUGGUUAACAUAGUUUGCUCGAUUAUUCAGACCCAUUUCUCGAUUUCUGCCCAAAUCAUUAGAAGCUAAAAUUUGACUCAUUUAGUCCAAUUCUUUUUUCCUUUUGUAGGAAGAAAAUUGCUUGAUACUCACCGUCACAGGCAUGGCCAGAUAGAGAGUGAAUAGAGAGCAAUGUUCAUGAGAUCACAAAUUGGGUCGAGGCCACCUAGGUGUGAAAAAAGAUGUGGUACUUGCAGACUCUGUGAAGCUAUUCAGGUUCCAACAAAUCCCCACAAUUACAAAUGAAAACAACAACCACACCUUUGUGAAUGCUAAGGACUUGAUUUUGUUGUUGAUGCGGGUGUUUGAGUGGCUUAAACUGAAAGUGCACCUUGAAUUAUACUGCAGGGAAAGUUGGAAGUCAUGAAUGGUAACAACAUGGAGGUAGAGCAGGUUCGUGAUUUAGCUACUGAGAAGCGCGGGGAGGAGGAGGAGGGAGAGAAAGAGUUGUGUGAGAGCACGAUGAGAAUUCAACCAUGGACUAAAUAGAUAACGUUAAGAGGAGUCAUUGCUAGUACAGUUAUUGGUUGCAUAUACAGUAUGAUACAAAUGAAAAUAAACCUCACAACUGGGAUUAAUCCUAAUCUCAAUAUAUCUGCUGCACUUCUUGCCUAUAUUUUCAUUCAGGCGUGGACUAGGAUCCUUAAAAGCUUGGGUUUGUAUCUGUUCCUUUUACAAAACAGGAAAAUACCAUGAUACAAACAUGUUCUGUCGCGUGUUACAACAUUGCUCUUGGAGGUGGACUAGGAUCAUAUUUGUUGGGAAUGGAGAAGAAAACUUAUGAACUAGCAAGAGUUGGAACAGUUGGAAAUACAUCAAAUAGUUAUAAGAAACUUGAAUUUGGUUGGAUGACUGGCUAUCUUCUUGUAGUUUAAUUUUGAAGUUUAAUGUUUAAUGUAUUUUUGAUAUGUUUUUCAAUUACAAUGUUUAAUUACUCUGUUGUAUUAAUACAUGAAUUGUAGGUUAUACCUAAAGGAACAAUAAAAUUUGAGCUAAAAUUAGAAUCUA
Long non-coding RNA from Capsicum annuum, 1182 nucleotides. RefSeq lists it as uncharacterized. The transcript has 5 exons. The record is from RefSeq and is a predicted model, not a curated record. NCBI's taxonomy places the organism in Eukaryota, Viridiplantae, Streptophyta, Magnoliopsida, Solanales, Solanaceae.